This 372-nucleotide ribosomal RNA is filed under the name uncultured bacterium. RNAcentral's name for it is "bacterial SSU rRNA". It matches the Rfam family "Bacterial small subunit ribosomal RNA", at positions 790 to 1167 of the family's 1533-position model. The record is from RNAcentral.
GUAGUCCACGCCCUAAACGAUGUCAACUAGUUGUCGGGUCUUAAUUGACUUGGUAACGCAGCUAACGCGUGAAGUUGACCGCCUGGGGAGUACGGUCGCAAGAUUAAAACUCAAAGGAAUUGACGGGGACCCGCACAAGCGGUGGAUGAUGUGGAUUAAUUCGAUGCAACGCGAAAAACCUUACCUACCCUUGACAUGUACGGAAGCCCCGAGAGAUUGGGGUGUGCUCGAAAGAGAGCCGUAACACAGGUGCUGCAUGGCUGUCGUCAGCUCGUGUCGUGAGAUGUUGGGUUAAGUCCCGCAACGAGCGCAACCCUUGUCAUUAGUUGCUACGAAAGGGCACUCUAAUGAGACUGCCUACGCAAGUAGAGA